UUUGGUGGCGAUGGCGGAGGGGUUCCACGCGUACCCAUCCCGAACACGACCGUUAAGCCCUCCAGCGCCGAUGGUACUUGGACCGAAGGGUCCUGGGAGAGUAGGACGCUGCCAAGC
Paenibacillus stellifer is the source of this 117-nucleotide ribosomal RNA. The record is from Rfam. NCBI's taxonomy places the organism in Bacteria, Bacillati, Bacillota, Bacilli, Caryophanales, Paenibacillaceae.